GCCCCGCGAGGCGCUGCUGGAGCACUCGGCCGCGCUGCCGCCGCUGCUGGUCGUCGACGGGUUCGAGCACCUGGCCGGGGCC
Molecule: transfer RNA, 82 nt
Filed under: Streptomyces sp. F-1
Lineage: Bacteria; Bacillati; Actinomycetota; Actinomycetes; Kitasatosporales; Streptomycetaceae
Description: tRNA-Gly
Source: RNAcentral